This 221-nucleotide ribosomal RNA is filed under the name Pseudomonas aeruginosa. RNAcentral's name for it is "partial 16S ribosomal RNA". It matches the Rfam family "Bacterial small subunit ribosomal RNA", at positions 1 to 224 of the family's 1533-position model. The record is from RNAcentral. Lineage: Bacteria; Pseudomonadati; Pseudomonadota; Gammaproteobacteria; Pseudomonadales; Pseudomonadaceae.
GAACUGAAGAGUUUGAUCAUGGCUCAGAUUGAACGCUGGCGGCAGGCCUAACACAUGCAAGUCGAGCGGAUGAAGGGAGCUUGCUCCUGGAUUUAGCGGCGGACGGGUGAGUAAUGCCUAGGAAUCUGCCUGGUAGUGGGGGAUAACGUCCGGAAACGGGCGCUAAUACCGCAUACGUCCUGAGGGAGAAAGUGGGGGAUCUUCGGACCUCACGCUAUCAG